GUAGUCCUACGGGGCGCAGCAGUGAGGAAUAUUGGUCAAUGGGCGCAAGCCUGAACCAGCCAAGUCGCGUGAGGGAUGACGGUCCUAUGGAUUGUAAACCUCUUUUGUCGGGGAGCAAGGCCCGCCACGUGUGGCGGGAAGGAGAGUACCCGAAGAAAAAGCAUCGGCUAACUCCGUGCCAGCAGCCGCGGGAAUACGGAGGAUGCGAGCGUUAUCCGGAUUUAUUGGGUUUAAAGGGUGCGGAGGCGGAAGGGUAAGGCAGCGGUCAAAUGGCGGUGCUC
RNAcentral lists this ribosomal RNA (281 nucleotides) under uncultured bacterium. RNAcentral describes it as "partial 16S ribosomal RNA". It matches the Rfam family "Bacterial small subunit ribosomal RNA", at positions 333 to 610 of the family's 1533-position model. The record is from RNAcentral.